GUAGCGCCUCCUUCCUAGCCCGCCUCCUCCGCAGAACGAAGGCCCGGCGUUCGCUAAGUAGAUUCAACUCUAAAACCGCGAGAAGCCUCGGAGCCAAAUUACGAAAAGGAGAACGGAAGUAGCCGGAAGCCAUGUUUGUUAGGGAAGGUGCGGCUCCGUUGCCUGCUCGUUCGCAAGCUUGAUCCCAGACACUCCUCACCCUCUGCAUUAUCAUUAGCCUACUUAUCUUGCCCUGCUCUUCGGUUUUGCUGAGUUCCUGUGGCUGGAGAGAAGGCUCAGUGCUGAAUAGCACUUACUGAUCAUGCACAGUACAGUGGGUUGAGUUCCCAGCAUCUACACAGCGGCUCACAACCAUCUGUAACUCCAGUUCUGGGAGAUCCAGUGACCUCUUCUGGCCCCCUACAUACAUGUGGUACCCAUAAAGUCAUGCAAGCAUACACACAUAAAUAGAUAAAAAUUUAAAAGAAAA
This is a long non-coding RNA of Peromyscus eremicus (cactus mouse), 469 nucleotides long. RefSeq lists it as uncharacterized. NCBI's taxonomy places the organism in Eukaryota, Metazoa, Chordata, Mammalia, Rodentia, Cricetidae. The record is from RefSeq and is a predicted model, not a curated record. The transcript has 3 exons.